Long non-coding RNA from Triticum aestivum (bread wheat), 6703 nucleotides. RefSeq lists it as uncharacterized. The transcript is spliced from 4 exons. The record is from RefSeq and is a predicted model, not a curated record. NCBI's taxonomy places the organism in Eukaryota, Viridiplantae, Streptophyta, Magnoliopsida, Poales, Poaceae.
GUUAGCGUGUAUAGAACGGCUUCUCGUCAUCGUCGAUGGGCAGAGGGGAGCAGCAGCAGGAGGAGGCAGCGGUGCCCCAACCCCGCCGCCGCUCCAAUCCCACCAGCGGCGUCCUCUCCUCAUCCCCUAACGCCGCCGCUCCAGCCCCUCACCUUCCUCGGCCGAUUUAGCGCCGUCACCACCCCUCAGCACGCAACCUCUCCUCUCCUCCGCAGCUCCGCCUCUUCCUCUGGCGGCAUCCAACCCAAUCAUCAUCUCCUACUCCCCUCUCUUAUUCCCCUGUGCCUCGACGAAGUGGGCCAAGCCGGCGCACGCAGCAAAGGGCGGCUGCGGAUGCAACUCAGACGCGGGCGCGGGCGCGGGCGGAGCUACGGUGGCUGGUGGUGGACGGGAAUCCCACCGACCGCGUCCCUCCCCAAACUGCCGCGAUAAUGGAGGGAGCCGCCAGCGCCGGCCAGGUACCGACCGACGGGCUCGUCGGGUCGCCGUUCCUUGGGGCCACUCUCUCCCCCCGUGUCGGAUCGCGCAUCGGCUCGGAGGCCCCUCUGGGCUGUCGCCGGUGCGGGAGGCGUCCGCGGCCGUGCGGGCUGGGGACCGAGCGGCGAGGCCCGUGGUGCGUUCCGGUCGAGGGCUUGCUUGAUCUGGCACGCGAUCUGAGCCCCCGUCGAUGGAUUUCUCGCAGCUCGGCUGCGUUUUGUUUUGGAUUCAGUACGACCCACAUCUCUCUCUCACACACAUGUUGCGGCCGAAAUCACUGCUUUGACUUAUUUGGAAAAGUUCAGCACAAAAUGAACCAUGUUGGAAACAUAUCUGGGGCGAUGAUGAUAAAACAUGGCUGACAUAAACUUGUCUUUGAUUAUUCGAGGACCUGUGGGCAUAAAAAACCCACUCCCCCCUCUUUUGGAACCUUUUCAUUCUCACUGAAUAUUGACGGCUCUGUCUUGGAUGGUCACUCUUUGAGUGAUAACCAGAGGAGCUCGACUUCAGUGGUGGGGAUUGAUCUGGUGCAAGAAGAUGGUGGAGCCGUGGAGCUAGGUUUUAUGAUCUAUCAAAGGCAAAUCUGAGCCCUUUCAAAUCUCAAUGCAACUAAUAUUGUGGCCUCUACACAUUUAUUUAUCCCCUAUUUAUGUAUAAAAGUGAUGAAAAUUGUUGUGGUUGUGGCAUCUGCUAUCUCAUUAAGAGCAGCUACGCACAUAUCACCUCGGGUGGUGUUUGGUUUGCCUUCUCAUGAUUUUGUUGUCCAUGGUGGGAACCACUUUGGUGCAUUCAGACUUUUUCUUUUUCUGUUUUUACUUUUCCUUGAAUGGCUGUGAUCAUUCUGCUGUCCCUUGGAUAGUUUAUUUUAGGUUAUUUUAUCAGGUUCGGGUCAGUUUGCUUGUUUCAAUUGAUGUUUUACUUUUUAUAAUCUCUUUCUUCUACUAUACUAUUUAUCUACUUAUCAGUUUGUACUUUUGGUUACUCCCCACUUCUUUACUGGUUUCAACUUAUGGGUCAUAUAGGGCAAGUUCAGAUGUCAAGAUAACGGUUUCCUUCCUGCCAUGUUCAUGAAUGGCUAUGAGGAUAUAGCUUUCCUACAUCGAUCUGACAUCUGUUUGGAUUUUGUAUAUUGAGCAUUUAGGAGGCUGUUCUGGAUUGAUGCACUUUGUAGUGGCGGAAUUCGUGUUUAAUUUAUUGCACGAGAUGAAAUUGAGAGGCUGAUGUAAAUUCGUUUGUGUAUAGAUUUUGUUAGUUCUAGGAUUGGAUGUUUAUGCAGUCUCUCUGUCUCUCCUGGAGGUUAGCCGAUUGAUGGAUUUGACUGCUGAUCCCUUUGUGUUGGUUGAUGGUGUUGAGAUAGAAAUAAGGAUUAAACAUGACCCUGAUGCUGAGGCAGUAUUCCAAUAUCAUUAGAGGGCCAGUGUUCUUCCAAAGAUGAUUUAGAAUCUCAAAAACGUUUCUUACGUCAAGAAUUUGGGUUCAUGGUUGAAGUAACAAAAACAUACUCCCUCCGUUCCAAAUUACUCGUCGCAGAAAUGGAUGUAUGUAGAACUAAAAUACAUCUAGAUACAUUCAUACCUGCGACAAGUAAUUCGGAACAGAGGGAGUAUGCAGCUUCUUGGCUCUGUCGUUUACAAUUCUUUUUUUAGGUAUAUUUACAACCUUUGUUGUUCCAUAUAGUUUGUUUCUUAAAUAUCCUAAGCAUAUAUUAUUGAAUAGACUGACUUUCCUGUUUUUGUGAUAAAAUGAAAAGAAUAAUGUACAUUUUAAGGACAUGAUAAAUCUUCUUCUUUCAAUUUGGUUAUGAUUUGAGAAUGCUCACAUAUAUUUUCUGUGUUGCAUCACCCCAUGGUCUGUGAUAGCGUCCAACUAGGUAUUUGAAUGUCAGGACCUAGCUAAUACUAUGAUGUUAUCAGGUUAAUAAAUAAUAUAGUACUGUUUAUCUAUUACUCCCUCCGUUCCAAAAUAGAUGACCCAACUUUAUACUAACUUUGUACUAAAGUUAGUACAAAGUUGAGUCAUCUAUUUUGGAACGACGGGAGUAGGUUCUAUGAGUAUGGCCGGGGUGAAUCCUGCUCAUAGGCACUGAAAGAAUAAAUAAUUGAUCUUUAUUUCUUCAUGAAAAAUAUGUCAUUUCGUUUUUAAAGAAAAGUUAUGUGAAAAGUUGUAGUAGAACACUGCUAGUUGUAAUUCCCCAUGUGUCUUGGCAUUUUAGGUGGAGUGGGAAUCUUUAAGAGGAAGUAUCAAGCGACACGAGCACCUAUGGUAGAAUGAUGUGUUGACAGUGUACCUAAUCCACCUGUAUUGACAAUGCAUAUAAUUUUUAAACUCAAGAUUAUAUUAUCAGCUGCAAUAUCUAUUCCCUUUUAAACUCAAGACUUUUAAACAAGAUCAUAUACAUUGUGAACCAAAGAUAGUUGAGUAUACAGUUUAAUUCUGCAAUUUGUUCUAUUAGACAAAUUACUAUUGUGUUGAAUCCUUGUUGUGGUGUGCUAAAUCGUUUCCUUAUGUUUGUACCUGCCAGUUCUAAGCACCUAUUCUUUUCUUCUUAUUUUGUAUCUAUACAUAACAAUUCUAUUUUUCUUACCUCUGCAAUUAUACGACCUGUAGUUUAUUCUCAUGGAUCUUAAGGUACUGAACUUCCAAAUUAGAACCUGGCCUAAAUUUGAGAUUUCCCGAAUGUAUAUUUUUGUUUUUCUUUCAUUCUUUGGAGGUGAUCCGUUGGUUGCUCAAUGCUCUUUACUGCAUGAGUAAAUUUCUUUUUCUUUAUUUCUAAAGUCAGUUUUAUUUUCUUCGUGAAGGUCUCCUGAUGCAAAUAUAUAGUGAAAGCAGUUUGAGAAAAGAAGCAAAGCAUUCGAGCCAACCUAUUUAUAUGGUGUGGAGAAUAUAAGGUUCUUGGCUUAUUGAUAUCAUCUGGUCAUUUUUAUAGGUGCCUGACUACAUAAUGAACUUUCUAGCUGUGUUGAUGACAACAAAAAGAAAAGCUUCUUUGACCAGGUUUGCUGACUUAAUUCAAGCUAUCCUGGUGGACUGACAUCAUACAUCCAGAAUGCCAAAAGGCUUUUGGUAGAUUGCAAGGCAGGAUAAAAUCCAUACGAUGGUUCCACACCUUCAGUAAGUCUUGCCAUGCACCAUCGUUUCAUGAAUUUGUUGGGUUGUUUGAAAUGAGCCUUUUUUGUGUUGUAUGAGAUCUAAAAUUUCAAUUCAGAACACCCAUCUGAUCAUUUUUUCCUACUCUGAACUGUUGUGUACUGAUAUUAAUUUAACUCAUUUGCCUUAUGUUAUUAUUCUGGCUGCCUUCAGUUUACAUGACUGAAAUAGCUCGGUGAACUUUCUUCCCACAUCAUGUCAGAAUUCUAUAUGGAGUCAUCUUGGCAUAGUUAUGUUCUUCGUAAUAGUAAUAAAGGCAAAAGAGAAAUUUUCAUGUCUCGGUACAUUUUAAUUUCAGGUACCACUACUAUGUUGCAAAUGAUAGAUUAGAUUAUUAUAAGCUUAGUUCUCUCAAAGCUUCGUGCUUUAAUAGUGGAUGCUGCCUUUUCAAAGUAUAAUAAAGAUUUGGAAUUAUUUGGAAUUCUUACACAAGGACAUCACCAAAGCAAGUGUUCCUUAUUUAAAGAUUUCUUCAGCUCAAAAUGUUGUUGUACUACUAUGUCUUUUUGAACUGAAAAGUUUCCAGAUCCCAAGUUUUCCUUGUUUAAAGAUUUCUUCAGCUCAAAUUGUUGUUGUACUACUAUGUCUUUUUGAACUAAAAAGUUUCCAGAUCGCAAGUUUUCCUUAUUUAAAGAUUUCUUUAGCUCAAAAUGUUACUGUACUACUAUGUCUUUUUGAACUGAACAGUUUCUAGAUUGCUAAGGAUUGUCCUCUUCUUUGUUUAGAGAACUCGGCAUUCAGACCUCGCUGGCGCUGGGCUAGAUGGGCUUCCUGGUAUUUUAUAGUCUGGUCAUGAUUUCCAGUAGCUUGUCUAUAUGGAUGUCUAUACUCGUUUUCCACGACGUGAGCCCAAAACAGGCGUCCAACAGCUUGUCUAUAUGAUCGUCCAAAUAUACACAUCUUCUAAAUCAGCCUCGACAAUGUCCAUGCCUGGACAAUGUGAAGGCGUUGUCUAAACUCAGCUGCAGUCAUGAUUUCUUCCUCUCCCUAGCGACGGCCCACCUGUCAUGGUCCCUGUAUAUAGACAUUCUGAUGCAAAAUUGGAUGUGUAUAUGAGGGAAUCUUUUUAGACCAUUAUCUAUAUGAAUAUAUAGACAUCCAAAUAUACACAUGCUAUUGGAGAUGCUCUAAGCAGAUUUGUUAUCUUCAAGUAAAGCUAAAUGUGAGCCACACCAACUUCCUUUAGUUCUUGAGAAUUUGUUGUCGUCCUUUGGAUUAACAGUCUGCCACAGUGCUCAUGGCUCUUGCAUUCACUCAAGAAUCAGGGCAAGUGUGGUGAGUGUCGUGCUUUUGAAUAUGUUGUUCUACACUUGACAUUGCAGCGCUCAUCUAUUAGAAUUUGCAUUAUUGCCAUAAAUGAUUCCAGUAACUAGAAUCCAUGUUAGGGAAUAGAAGCUGACAGGUACAAGCUAACCACCCUUGCCUAACUCGUUUGCCUGUCGUACUUGGAAAAAAUCUGUACUUGGCAAUCUACUACUUUUUAUUUGAUGUUUGGUUCAGGAAAUAGGACCUAGCUUCAGUUACAUUAACUAUCGAUUUGUUUCAGGGACAAUCUCUAUUCUUAGCAAAUUCCCAUGUUAGAGAAAAUUUGUAGUAUAAAUUAAGUGACAUCAUGAAAUAUUUUGAAUCAAGAUAACAAAGAAGAAUUACAAGUUUGAUAAAGCACGAGGGAUCAUUCAUUCAUUUACUUAUGAUCCCUUUAAGACUGCUGCCUCUUUGUUAAUACAAGACUAUUAGUAUAUAUCAAACCCCUAAACUUGCUUUGGUUUUUGAAUGUGAUUUUUAACCAGCAACAUGGACCUUUCACUCAUCUGUAAUGCAUGUCUUCUUGCUAAAAUAAGUUUAGUAAUACUGCUAUGCACAUGCCAUACCCACAGCGCCAAAAAGCAACAACAAGUAUGGUAGCCUAAUUAGUAGCGCACCUUACAGCCUUAGUUGCAUCCUGAUGCUUUACAUCCUCUAGAUGUUUUUUUGAUUUUUUUUGCAUCCUCUAGAUGAACUCUUUUUACUGAACCUUCUACCAUUGUUGGUAGCUGAUGUUUAGAAGUCCAAGCAGCUGAACGUUUUACAGAUUUAUACAUACCCCCUGUAACGAAGAAGUGGGUGUUUCCAUGGAUGGAUCGGGUUUAAUCUAUGCACAGAUAUCACGCUUGAGGUCAGUUGUGUUUUCUCAGGUUUACGUAGGAAUGACAACUGUUUUCAGAAGCAAAAAACUUGAAUUGGGAAUGGAACCCUUGAUGGAUUGAUGUUUGCUGAAGAAAGUCCUUGCAGCAAAGAAGAACAUGAAGCAAGUUUUCUAUUUUUUACAAGUAUUUCCUUUUGUUCCUAAUUGUUUUCUCUUUCGUAUGGAAGCUCUGAAACAAAAUGAGGUGGCCUAAAAUUAAGGAUUAAUUCUUUUGAUAACUGAUUUGAGAAAACAGAUACAUGGAAUAUAAGUACAAGGUAGACUGUAGCAUUGCUAUCCUGUACAUACAGUCCAACCAACUGCUCCGAGAGGAACCAAGGCGACGUGCAAGUUGGCGUCUGUGAAGCUUUGUCGGAGCCAUUUUCCUGCUCCUCCAGAGCCACAAGGAGAGCCUAAAAGUCAGGGCAGAAGUGUGUCCGACUGUCGUACGAGAAGAAGUGUGCAUGGCUGAGGAGCCAGGGCGCCAAUGGUGCGGAGUCGUUCGCCAUCAAGAGGACCAAACCUGCCAUCAGGGACCACCGGAUCAAGCUCAACAUCUCCCUCGCCUCCGUCAACGCCCUGUCCUAGAGGGUCGUCGCCGUCCACGAUGAGCCCGCAGCUCGCGGAGCUCAUCCAAAUGCGGGCAAGGAUGUGGCGACUCAUCGACGACGUGCACCGGAUGAUGUAGCGCAUAGCGGACGAGGUGAGCGUGCUCCUCUGGUUGUUGGCCACAUGGUUGGAGGGAGGCAUCAAGGGCUCGCUACUACCGGGGCGGACGUGCGCACAAUUUAUAUUGAUAUAUCUUAUUUUGCCAAACAACAAGAUAUAUGCUCCUGAUGCUAUUAACCUGACAGGGAAUUUCAGUUUCUUUCACAUUAUACAUCAAUAAAUAUAUAGAGAUCCAGAUGUGUUGCA